AGCGGCGGAUGGGUGAGUAACACGUGGGGAACCUGCCCCUAAGUCUGGGAUACCAUUUGGAAACAGGUGCUAAUACCGGAUAAUAAAGCAGAUCGCAUGAUCAGCUUUUGAAAGGCGGCGUAAGCUGUCGCUAAGGGAUGGCCCCGCGGUGCAUUAGCUAGUCGGUAAGGUAACGGCUUACCAAGGCGACGAUGCAUAGCCGAGUUGGGAGACUGAUCGGCCACAUUGGGACUGAGACACGGCCCAAACUCCUACGGGAGGCAGCAGUAGGGAAUCUUCCACAAUGGACGCAAGUCUGAUGGAGCAACGCCGCGUGAGUGAAGAAGGUUUUCGGAUCGUAAAGCUCUAUUGUUGGUGAAGAAGGAUAGAGGUAGUAACUGGCCUUUAUUUGACGGUAAUCAACCAGAAAGUCACGGCUAACUACGUGCCAGCAGCCGCGGUAAUACGUAGGUGGCAAGCGUUGUCCGGAUUUAUUGGGCGUAAAGCGAGCGCAGGCGGAAAAAUAAGUCUAAUGUGAAAGCCCUCGGCUUAACCGAGGAACUGCAUCGGAAACUGUUUUUCUUGAGUGCAGAAGAGGAGAGUGGAACUCCAUGUGUAGCGGUGGAAUGCGUAGAUAUAUGGAAGAACACCAGUGGCGAAGGCGGCUCUCUGGUCUGCAACUGACGCUGAGGCUCGAAAGCAUGGGUAGCGAACAGGAUUAGAUACCCUGGUAGUCCAUGCCGUAAACGAUGAGUGCUAAGUGU
Molecule: ribosomal RNA, 743 nt
Filed under: uncultured bacterium
Lineage: Bacteria
Description: bacterial SSU rRNA
Rfam family: Bacterial small subunit ribosomal RNA
Source: RNAcentral